AAAUCCGCUUUGAUAAUGCUGGGAUGUGAUGGGGAGCGAAAUUUAGUAGCGAAGUAGCUGAUUUCACACUGUCAAGAAAAGUCUCUAUCGAGGUUAAAGGUACCCGUACCGCAAACCGACACAGGUGGGUGAGGAGAGUAUCCUAAGGCCAGCGAGAGAACUGUUGUUAAGGAACUCGGCAAAAUGACCCCGUAACUUAGGGAUAAGGGGUGCCACCAUCAGGUGGCCGCAGAGAAUAGGCCCAAGCGACUGUUUACCAAAAACAUAGGUUUCUGCUAAGUCGCAAGACGAUGUAUAGGAGCUGACGCCUGCCCGGUGCUGGAAGGUUAAGGGGAUCUGUUAGAGCAAUCGAAGCAGUGAACUUAAGCCCCAGUAAACGGCGGCCGUAACUAUAACGGUCCUAAGGUAGCGAAAUUCCUUGUCGGGUAAGUUCCGACCCGCACGAAAGGCGUAACGAUUUGGGCACUGUCUCAACAACAGACUCGGUGAAAUUGUAAUUCCGGUGAAGAUGCCGGAUACCUGCGACAGGACGGAAAGACCCCAUGGAGCUUUACUGUAGCUUGACAUUGGGUCUUGGUACUACAUGUACAGGAUAGGUGGGAGGCUUUGAAACCAGGACGCCAGUUUUGGCGGAGCCAUCCUUGGGAUACCACCCUUGUAGUACUGGGACUCUAACCAUAGGCCAUGAAUCUGGUCUUGGGACACUGUCAGGUGGGCAGUUUGACUGGGGCGGUCGCCUCCCAAAAGGUAACGGAGGCGCUCAAAGGUUCUCUCAGUACGGUCGGAAAUCGUACGUAGAGUGUAAAGGCAAAAGAGAGCUUGAUUGCAAGACAUACAGGUCGAGCAAGGAUGAAAAUCGGACUUAGUGAUCCGGUGGUUCUGCGUGGAAGGGCCAUCGCUCAACGGAUAAAAGCUACCCUGGGGAUAACAGGCUUAUCUCCCCCAAGAGUCCACAUCGACGGGGAGGUUUGGCACCUCGAUGUCGGCUCAUCACAUCCUGGGGCUGUAGUAGGUCCCAAGGGUUGGGCUGUUCGCCCAUUAAAGUGGUACGCGAGCUGGGUUCAGAACGUCGUGAGACAGUUCGGUCCCUAUCCGUCGCAGGCGUAGGAAAUUUGAGAAGACCUGUCCUUAGUACGAGAGGACCGGGAUGGACGUACCUCUGGUGUACCAGUUGUCCUGCCAAGGGCAUGGCUGGGUAGCUAUGUACGGAAUGGAUAAGCGCUGAAAGCAUCUAAGCGCGAAGCCAACUUCAAGAUAAGAUUUCCCACCGCAAGGGUAAGACCCCAGAAAGACUAUCUGGUUGAUAGGUCGAAGGUGUAAGUGCAGCAAUGUAUUUAGCUUAUCGAUACUAAUAGGUCGAGGACUUGACCAAU
This 1373-nucleotide ribosomal RNA is filed under the name Clostridioides difficile. RNAcentral's name for it is "partial 23S ribosomal RNA". It matches the Rfam family "Bacterial large subunit ribosomal RNA", at positions 1538 to 2925 of the family's 2925-position model. The record is from RNAcentral. Lineage: Bacteria; Bacillati; Bacillota; Clostridia; Peptostreptococcales; Peptostreptococcaceae.